RNAcentral lists this ribosomal RNA (253 nucleotides) under uncultured bacterium. RNAcentral describes it as "partial 16S ribosomal RNA". It matches the Rfam family "Bacterial small subunit ribosomal RNA", at positions 524 to 776 of the family's 1533-position model. The record is from RNAcentral.
UACGUAGGGUGCAAGCGUUAAUCGGAAUUACUGGGCGUAAAGCGUGCGCAGGCGGUUCGUUGUGUCGGCGGUGAAAGCCCCGGGCUUAACCUGGGAAUGGCCGUUGAAACUGGCGAACUGGAGUGUGGCAGAGGGGGGUGGAAUUCCGCGUGUAGCAGUGAAAUGCGUAGAGAUGCGGAGGAACACCGAUGGCGAAGGCAGCCCCCUGGGCUGACACUGACGCUCAGGCACGGAAGCGUGGGGAGCAAACAGG